RNAcentral lists this ribosomal RNA (492 nucleotides) under uncultured bacterium. Its description in RNAcentral is "partial 16S ribosomal RNA". It matches the Rfam family "Bacterial small subunit ribosomal RNA", at positions 29 to 507 of the family's 1533-position model. The record is from RNAcentral.
AUUGAACGCUGGCGGCAUGCUUUACACAUGCAAGUCGAGCGGUAACAGGCCUUCGGGUGCUGACGAGUGGCGAACGGGUGAGUAAUGCAUCGGAACGUACCCAGAGGUGGGGGAUAACGCAGCGAAAGCUGUGCUAAUACCGCAUGUGAUCUGAGGAUGAAAGCGGGGGACCGAGCAGCAAUGUUUGGCCUCGCGCCUUUGGAGCGGCCGAUGUCGGAUUAGCUAGUUGGUGGGGUAAAGGCCUACCAAGGCGACGAUCCGUAGCUGGUCUGAGAGGACGACCGGCCACACUGGAACUGAGACACGGCCCAGACUCCUACGGGAGGCAGCAGUGGGGAAUUUUGGACAAUGGGCGCAAGCCUGAUCCAGCAAUGCCGCGUGCGGGAAGAAGGCCUUCGGGUUGUAAACCGCUUUUGGCAGGAACGAAACGGUGUCCGCUAAUACCGGGCGCUAAUGACGGUACCUGCAGAAUAAGCACCGGCUAACUACGUG